Non-coding RNA from Camellia sinensis, 1931 nucleotides. Lineage: Eukaryota; Viridiplantae; Streptophyta; Magnoliopsida; Ericales; Theaceae. The record is from RefSeq and is a predicted model, not a curated record.
UUUUUGCUCUUAGAUUCUUGUAUCUUUUGUUGGUUUCAAAUUUAUGUUUCUUAUCUAGAAGAAAAACAUAAACUAUGCAGCCAUCUGAAUGGUAAUUUUGUUACACUUUUUAUGGCUGCCAUUGGACUAGCUUGUGAGAAGAUUUUAGUGGUUCAUUUAUACUCUACACUGUAACUUUUCUUCUCAACUAAUAGUCCAGGACAAGUUUGUUAGAUGAAUUAUAUAAAUUUUUUUAUAAGUAAUGUGUAUAUAUUAAUGAGGCAAGCAAAAAGGAACACAACAACCUAUGUCACCUAUACAUCAAUCUACUCAAAAGAUUAAAAAUUUCAAAAAUUGGUUAAAAACCAAAUUUACAUCGCCCAAGAACCAACUAUACUAAAAAUGGUUUUUCAAUUUAAGGAUGGGAUAUUCCAAGCCAUCAAACGUACUCUGAUUAUCCUUUCUCCAAAUGAUCCACAUCAAACCCAAAGGAAGACUGGAUGAAGUGGUCUUAAUCAAAGUAGACCUCACCCCUUUUGAUAAAUACCGUCUCUUCCAGCCUGCCAGACACAUCUGGAACCUUUCUACCUCUGAGUUCCAAACUGAGUUUGCCUCAAAAGAGGAUCCAAGAGGGAGACCAAGUAUAAAGAAGGUAAAUGAUCAACUUUACAGCCAAAAAAUAUUUUUCAAAAAAAAAAAAAAAACUUUACAGCCAAUGCCCCCACAGGGGGAACCUCUCCAACUGGAAUAAGGCUAGACUUCCCCAAAUUUACUUUCAAGCUUGAAACUACCUUGAAGCAAAUAAGCAACAUUGAUUACCCAAAUACUGGGCCUUAGUCCCACAAAAAAUAAUAGUGUCAUUUGCGAGCAAGUGAGAGACCUUUAAAAGGGGAGCCAUCAAGCUGCUCAAUGUGAAAACCCUCCAAGAAACCAGGGAGGUUCUAUUUGCACACACCAUAUCCUCUUUUCUCACACAAUGAGAGAAUAUGUUGGAGAGUUGUGUGUGGAAGAUGUGUAUAGAGAGAGGUGUGUGUGUGUAAAUAGAUGCUCCCAAGAAACCACCUUGCACUGCCUCUCCAUCAUCCCACAAUGUCAUUAUUAUCCUCAAAGAUACUAAGUAUGGCUCUUUCAUACUUCUUGUAAGCUCCAAAAUACAGAGUUUGCCAAGUGUUUGAACAAGUUCAUAAGGUCAAUGAUUUUCCAUCAUUUACAUGUUCUAGUAACCGGUGUGCUUGACUUCCAUGUGCAUUGUAAAAACAAUCAAGAUAAGUGUUUUAUAAAUUUAUGUUGAUCUUCAUUUCUCUUUGUUUGGAUGUUCUAUUUCUGAUCUUGCAGUAAUUGCUGUGGCACUUCUUUGGAAGAACUUUCAGACCUACUCUAUGGCAGUUUAUCUCAUCACCACUACAUCAUUUUCCUUCAUUGGCUAGCUUAUUCUUUAUAUUUAACUAUAAGAAUGAUAUUGUGAUUGCAGACAAAGAAACUGUUCCAAACAGGCUUUUAUGCUGCCAUUAGUGCUGCAAUGCUAUGCUUCUAUUCCUAUGUGGUUUUGUCCGGAGGAAACCCACCACCAAAAAAGUUGAAAUCAUCUGCCGUUGCCCCAUCAUAAUCAGAACCAACGAAGCUCAUAUUAGAUUUUGAGGUUUACAGUUUGUUUGUUUUUUUUUUGGCUUGUGGCUUUCAAGUGAAUGUGAAGGUUGUUUUGUUUGUUUGACAUGAAGACUUGGUCAGUCAUGAGAAGAGGGGAAGUGUAAUCAUAGAACCGGGUUCUAAUUUGUAGGUUGCUUAAGUGAAAAUUAGAAGAAAGCUGUUUGCCGUGUCACCUAUGUUCUAAAAAAUAAAAGGAGGAACAGUUUGAUAUGUUCUCAUGUAAUCUACAUAUGGAUUGAUAUAACUUGCAUGCAAAUUGUUGAAAGGAACUUUUGAAUGGGUGAAAUGAUAGUGUUAUUGAAAUA